GAUGAACGCUGGCGGCGUGCCUAAUACAUGCAAGUCGAGCGAACAGACGAGGAGUUUGCUCCUCUGACGUUAGCGGCGGACGGGUGUGUAACACGUGGAUAACCUCCCUAUGAGGCUGGGAAAACUUCGGGAAACCGGAUCUAAUACCGUAAAAUAUAUUGAACCGCAUGGUUAAAUAGAGAAAGACGGUUUUGCUUUCACUUAUAGACGCAUCCGCGCCGCUUUAGCUAGUUGGUAAGGUACCGGCUUACCAAGGCAACGAUGCGUAGCCGACAUGAGAGGAUGGACGGCCACACGGGAAGUGAGACACGGCCGAGACACCGGCGGGGGGCAGCAGUAGGGAAUCUUCCGCAAUGGGGGAGAGCCUAACAGAGCAACGCCGCGUGAGUGAUGAUGGUGUUCGGAUGGUAAAACUCUGUAGUUAGGGAAAAACAAAUGUGUAAGUAACUAUGCACAUAUUGACGGUACCUAAUCAGAAAGCCACGGCUAACUACGUG
RNAcentral lists this ribosomal RNA (497 nucleotides) under uncultured bacterium. Its description in RNAcentral is "partial 16S ribosomal RNA". It matches the Rfam family "Bacterial small subunit ribosomal RNA", at positions 28 to 507 of the family's 1533-position model. The record is from RNAcentral.